Molecule: non-coding RNA, 169 nt
Filed under: Fragilariopsis kerguelensis
Lineage: Eukaryota; Bacillariophyta; Bacillariophyceae; Bacillariales; Bacillariaceae
Source: RNAcentral
UAUUCGUACGUCUGUUUUGUUCUCCGUCUUCUAUUUCUUUUACUAGUACUACCACUAUAUCUGUGUGCGUAUGUGUGUGUUAUGUAAUAAACCAGGGAAACAAAUUAGAGAAGAGUAAGAAGGAGAAGAAGACAAAGUUGAGGUCCAUUAUAAAUAGGAUUGUUUGUUU